UUGUACUGUUCUCGAGCUCUCCCCUUGAUCACUGUUCUUCUGUCUUGAUCUAGAUGAUAAGCACUGCAUAGAUAGAAUUUGUCAUCUUUGCUAUAAUUCCAUAUUAUCUUGUGUGCCGCACCUCUGUUACUAAUUGGUAAACUGCAUAUCAGGACCAGCUCUUCCAAUGGAUGCCAUGCUUAUCUAAGUGAUUCCCCCACCAGAAAUUUGGCAACAUUACUGAUAUCUCAUGACACAAUUUCUUUGGGAGUUUGGAAACAGACAUAGUGUAAGUAGGAAUGGCUUGAAGCACAGUCUUGAUCAAUACCUCUUUUCCUGCCUUGGACAAGUAACUGUUCUUCCAACAAUUUAUCUUCCUCCAUAUGCGAUCUUUUAUGCACCUGAAGCUGUUAUACUUGGAUUUUCCAAAUAUUGAUGGGUUAUUGCUCGAUGUAACGACGGCAUUAGCAGUAGCGAGAUUGUGCGGGAUCAACAAUUGAAGCCCAAUUUUGGACUUUGGAGCAUUUCCAAUGAAUGCUGGAAAAUAUAGUUUUCUUUAAAAUAUGAAGAAUGUUGAUCAAAAUAAAGAUUCAAUGUAUGUUGUAAAUCAUUUUUAUUUUUCAUGUAGCUACAACAAUCCCACUAUAUCUAGAGACUAUUGUUCAUACAUGUAAAAUAUUUUUAAUUAUUUUUCUCCUCUCUGAAUUCUUUUUUUCCCUUUAUUCUAAUUUCGUUUCAGCCCUUGUGUGGCAUUGGCC
This is a long non-coding RNA of Juglans regia (Persian walnut), 737 nucleotides long. RefSeq lists it as uncharacterized. The transcript has 3 exons. NCBI's taxonomy places the organism in Eukaryota, Viridiplantae, Streptophyta, Magnoliopsida, Fagales, Juglandaceae. The record is from RefSeq and is a predicted model, not a curated record.